Molecule: ribosomal RNA, 451 nt
Filed under: uncultured bacterium
Lineage: Bacteria
Description: bacterial SSU rRNA
Rfam family: Bacterial small subunit ribosomal RNA
Source: RNAcentral
GUCGGGAAUCUUGGACAAUGGGGGCAACCCUGAUCCAGCCACGCCGCGUGGGUGAUGGAGGCCUUCGGGUCGUAAAGCCCUGUCAGAGGGGAAGAAACGGUCUUAGGUUAAUACCCUCGGACCUUGACGGUACCCUCAGAGGAAGCACCGGCUAACUACGUGCCAGCAGCCGCGGUAAGACGUAGGGUGCGAGCGUUGCUCGGAAUUACUGGGCGUAAAGAGCGUGUAGGCGGCCUUGUAAGCGGGGUGUGAAAGCCCUCGGCUUAACCGAGGAAGUGCGCCCUGAACUGCUUGGCUUGAGUCCGGGAGAGGGUGGUGGAAUUCCUGGUGGAACGGUGAAAUGUGUAGAUAUCAGGAAGAACAUCGGCGGCGAAGGCGGCCGCCUGGCCCGGUACUGACGCUGAAACGCGAAAGCGUGGGUAGCAAACAGGAUUAGAUACCCCAGUAGUCC